This 449-nucleotide ribosomal RNA is filed under the name uncultured bacterium. RNAcentral describes it as "partial 16S ribosomal RNA". It matches the Rfam family "Bacterial small subunit ribosomal RNA", at positions 29 to 523 of the family's 1533-position model. The record is from RNAcentral.
AACGAACGCUGGCGGCAGGCUUAACACAUGCAAGUCGAACGAGAUCUUCGGAUCUAGUGGCAGACGGGUGAGGAGCACGUGGGAACAUCCCUUUCAGUUCGGAAUAACGUUGGGAAACUAACGCUAAUACCGGAUACGUCCUUCGGGAGAAAGAUUUAUCGCUGAAAGAUUGGCCCGCGUCUGAUGAGCUAGUUGGUAAGGUAACGGCUCACCAAGGCUACGAUCAGUAGCUGAUCUGAGAGGAUGAUCAGCCACACUGGGACUGAGGCACGGCCCAGACUCCUACGGGAGGCAGCAGUGGGGAAUAUUGGACAAUGGGCGCAAGCCUGAUCCAGCCAUGCCGCGUGAGUGAUGAAGGCCUUAGGGUUGUAAAGCUCGUUCGCUAGGGAAGAUAAUGACGGUACCUAGAGAAGAAGCCCCGGCUAACUUCGUGCCAGCCGCCGCCGUAA